UAAGUCUGAUGGAGCACGCCGCGUGAGUGAAGAAGGGUUUCGGCUCGUAAAACUCUGUUGUUAGAGAAGAACAGCCGUGAGAGCAACUGCUCACGGUAUGACGGUAUCUAACCAGAAAGUCACGGCUAACUACGUGCCAGCAGCCGCGGUAAUACGUAGGUGGCAAACGUUGUCCGGAUUUAUUGGGCGUAAAGGGAGCGCAGGCGGUUUAUUAAGUCUGAUGUGAAAGCCUUCGGCUUAACCGGAGAAGUGCAUCGGAAACUGAUAAACUUGAGUGCAGAAAAGGAUAGUGGAACUUCAUGUGUAGCGGUGAAAUGCGUAGAUAUAUGAAGGAACACCAGUGGCGAAGGCGGCUAUCUGGUCUGUAACUGACGCUGAGGCUCGAAAGCAUGGGUAGCAAACAGGAUUAGAUACCCUGGUAGUCCAUGCCGUAAACGAUGAAUGCUAGGUGUUGGAAGGUUUCCGCCUUUCAGUGCCGCAGCUAACGCAUUAAGCAUUCCGCCUGGGGAGUACGACCGCAAGGUUGAAACUCAAAGGAAUUGACGGGGACCCGCACAAGCGGUGGAGCAUGUGGUUUAAUUCGAUGCUACGCGAAGAACCUUACCAGGACUUGACAUCUUCUGCCAAUCUAAGAGAUUAGACGUUCCCUUCGGGGACAGAAUGACAGGUGGUGCAUGGUUGUCGUCAGCUCGUGUCGUGAGAUGUUGGGUUAAGUCCCGCAACGAGCGCAACCCUUGUCUUUAGUUGCCAGCAUUAAGUUGGGCACUCUAGAGAGACUGCCGGUGAUAAACCGGAGGAAGGUGGGGAUGACGUCAAAUCAUCAUGCCCCUUAUGUCCUGGGCUACACACGUGCUACAAUGGGCGAUACAACGAGUUGCGAAACCGCGAGGUCAAGCUAAUCUCUUAAAGUCGUUCUCAGUUCGG
This 924-nucleotide ribosomal RNA is filed under the name Fructilactobacillus sanfranciscensis. Its description in RNAcentral is "bacterial SSU rRNA". It matches the Rfam family "Bacterial small subunit ribosomal RNA", at positions 378 to 1296 of the family's 1533-position model. Lineage: Bacteria; Bacillati; Bacillota; Bacilli; Lactobacillales; Lactobacillaceae. The record is from RNAcentral.